Non-coding RNA from Cinara cedri, 223 nucleotides. The record is from the annotation of a GenBank genome assembly. NCBI's taxonomy places the organism in Eukaryota, Metazoa, Arthropoda, Insecta, Hemiptera, Aphididae.
ACUACCACACGCCGAGUUAUCAUUGUCGCAGCUACCUACAAAUGAUUUAGGUUAUUUUCAGGAUAACAUUAACCGCCUAAAAUUGUCGGGUUAAAGCUGACGGGUCAGAUACUUUAAUUAGUGCGCGCCACUGCAGACGUCAAUUGAUUAACGGCUGCAUCCGAGUUGGGUCCCGGACUCUAGUGGUCUUGACAAGUGGGUAGUAAACUAGUUGGGUCUCAAU